RNAcentral lists this ribosomal RNA (440 nucleotides) under uncultured bacterium. Its description in RNAcentral is "partial 16S ribosomal RNA". It matches the Rfam family "Bacterial small subunit ribosomal RNA", at positions 338 to 795 of the family's 1533-position model. The record is from RNAcentral.
CCUACGGGAGUCAGCAGUGGGGAAUAUUGCACAAUGGGGGGAACCCUGAUGCAGCGACGCCGCGUGGGUGAAGGAGCGUUUCGGCGCGUAAAGCCCUAUCGGCAGGGAAGAAGAUGACGGUACCUAACCAAGAAGCCCCGGCUAACUACGUGCCAUCAGCCGCGGUCAUACGUAGGGGGCAAGAGUUAUCCGGAUUUACUGGGUGUAAAGGGGGUGCAGACGGCAAUGGAAGCCAGGAGUGAAAACCCGGGGCCCAACCCCGGGACUGCUCUUGGAACUGCAUGGCUGGAGUACAGGAGGGGCAGGCGGAAUUCCUAGUGUAGCGGUGAAAUGCGUAGAUAUUAGGAGGAACACCGGUGGCGAAGGCGGCUUGCUGGACUGUGACUGACGUUGAGGCCCGAAGGCGUGGGGAGCAAACAGGAUUAGAUACCCUUGUAGUC